AUGGAUCGAGGAAGACGACGACGGCGCAGCCCAAAUCAACGGAAGCUUCGAUCCAAGCUCAUCAUCUGGUUCUGCUUCUGGGGCCAAUUCUAUUUUUACGUACAGCAGAGUCCUCAUAUAAUAUGGAAGUCGACAAAAAAAACUUCAGGGUCCGAAAUUACAGACGGGCUAAUUAUAAUCCUCCUAUUAUACGCCUACGAUCCAGCGGUACAGGCCCAUGAGGCCCGCCUCGUCCUCGUCCGCCGCCCGCGGCGCCGCCAUGGCCGCCGCCUCGGGGUCCCACCGCCACGAGUCCUCCUGCCGGUGGCUGUGGUGGCUCUGGCUCCACCGCGCGCUCCACCGCCCGGAGAGGGACGACGCCGAGGAGGCCAGCCGGUCCACGUACUCCCGGAGCCACCCGCGCGACCCCGCCGCCUCCGCCAGCGCCUCGCCCGGGCCCUGCGGCGCGGCGCGCUGCCCGGCCACCGCCGACUUGGCCGCCGCCGCGGGGCGCGCGAUGCGCGCCACCACGGCCUCCACCUCCUCGUCCACGCGGUAGUCGAAGGAGCCGAGGGAGUAUGUGCGGCGGUCGUCCCCCGCGGCGGACGAGCGUCGGUUGCUCACGCUGCCGAUCUCGACGCGGAAGCUCCUGGACGCGUUGCUGCUGCUCCUCGCGUCCAACGGCUCCUGCUGCGCGGCGGCGGUGUAGGCGGUGGGGAGAGGCGGGUGCGGCAGCGAGAUGGCGGCGCGGCAGAGCGGGCACGACGGCGUGUUGCGGAGCCACGCGUCGACGCAGGCGGCGUGGAACGCGUGCCGGCACGCCGGGAGCAGCCGCAGCUCGGCGUCGGGCACGAACGGCGACAGGCAGACGGCGCAGUCCGGGGAGCUCUUGGGCAGCGCCGCCAGCGCCGACGCCAUCGUGAAGAGCGGAAGUGA
This 915-nucleotide ribosomal RNA is filed under the name Triticum aestivum (bread wheat). Its description in RNAcentral is "partial small subunit ribosomal RNA". The record is from RNAcentral. Lineage: Eukaryota; Viridiplantae; Streptophyta; Magnoliopsida; Poales; Poaceae.